GACGGCAGGGCUCACUGCCCCACCCACCCGACGGAACCCUUGUGCCCUCCACCAACGAGCUUCAGUGCACCUGCCCUACCAAGACCCAGGAGGGAGGGCACAAAUCCUUCCCCCGGCACUGCUGAGCAUAGGUGCCAAAUAGGGACCUUGUGUGACGGCGGCCCCCCUCCACCUGUGGACAGCGUAAGGCACAUUUCCUGCUGGCCUACUCCUUCCAGGUGCCUAGGGCUCAGACCCAGUACAGCCAAUGACUGAUCAUUUAGUCUUCAGGCCUCCCCAAGGCCACGCCACGCCCAGAACAACGGGCUUCCCACCCCUGUCUGAUUCCUGAUCGCUGCCUAACUCCUACAGGUCCUUGUAAAACUCGGCUUCCUGCCCCUUGUCCAGGAACAGUCCUGCUUCCCCAGCUCAGUGAGCAUCCACAACACCCUGUAUGAAAGCCGAACACUCUGCUGACUUGUCUCCUGCCCCCCAACUUCCCAGCCUCGAUGACGUUUGAGCAAAGAACUCAUUCUCACUCCUCCGUGAUCCCACAGCUCUGGGCCCAGCGUCUGGUCCAUAAGAAAUGGUAGUUGAAGACGAAUCAUCAACCUAAAUGUGAAGCCCAAACAGAACUAGAAAAAUACUAGAGGCAAACAGGAGAAAAUCUUUGUGAUCUUGAGUUUGGCAAAGAUCUCUCACAUGUAACACCAAAAGCAUGGUCCAUAAGAGAGAAUAUUUAAAAAAAAAAAAAAACAUGAUAAGUUAGACUUCACUGCAAUUUAAAACUUCUCUUCAAAAGACAUUAUCAAGAACAUAAAAAGACGAGCCACAGAUCGGAAGAAAAGCAUCUGGAAAACACGAAACUGGUAAAGGGCUUGCUUCCUGACUUUAUAAAGAACUCACCCAACUCAACGGCAACUCCGUAACUCAACUCCGUAAAAGAUGGUCAAAGAUUCAACACUUUGCCAACGAGGAUAUUCUCGGGAUGGCAAACGAGCACAUGAAAAGAUGCUCCACGUCAUUAGUCGUGAAGUAAAUGCAAAUUGAAACCACAAGGAGAUACUACUACACGCCUAGGAGAAUGGCUAGAAAAUAAAAUAAAAUAAAACAAUAUCGAGUGCAGGGAUUUGGAGCAACGGGAACUCUCACUCAUUGCCGGUGGAAAUGCAAAACGGAAUAGAAUCUUUGCACAACAGUGCAGCUGUUUCUUAUAAAAUUGAACCUGCACUAAUACAACCCAGUAAUCCCACUCCUCAGCCUUUAUCCAAGAGAAAUGGACACUCGAGUUCACAUAAACGUUUGUAAUGGGAAUGCUUGUAACAGCGUGAUUCAUAGGCUUGGUUCAUAAGAGUGAAAACUUGAAACCACCAGACUGUCCUUUGAUGGUGAGUGGAUAUCACUGUGGUAUGUCCACGUGCUGAAUGACGUGCAAAAACAACACACGAAUUUUAAGUGCAUUGUGCUAAGUGAAAGAGGCCAAACUGAAAAGGCUACACAUUAUAGGAUUCCAUUUAUAGGACAUUCUGAAAAAGGCAAGACCAUAAGGACAGAAAACAGAGCAGUGGUUACCAGGGCUUGGGACCUCACCCUACAUUCCUCUCCAGCUAGUUGCUCAUCUGUAGCCUUUAUGAUAUCUUUUAUAAGAAACCGGUGGAAGUAUAUAAAUGUUUUCCUGAGUUCUGUGAGUCACUCCAGCAAAUUAACUGAACCUGAGGAGGGCGUUGUGGGAACCUCCGAUUUAUAGCAGGUAGACGGUGUCAGAACUGAGUGAACUGCUCAAUGUGUCGGAAAACACACAUCAGAGGGACUGACUAUAAAGAGGUACAAGGAAAUUUGGGGCGUAAGUUGUGAAUCCUGAUUGUGGCAGUGGUUGCACACGCAUUUGUCAAAGCUCAAGUGGGCUGAAUGAAUAUAAUCCAAGGCUUUCCUUGCACUGGCCCAAGCCCACCUUGCCAACCUCAUUUCCUCCUCCCCUACUCAUGCUUUCCGGACUCCUGUGAAGCUGGCCUUCCGUGGCCCCCAGCAGCAUGGGCCUUGCCCACCCCCAGCCUUUUCUCCGGUUUUCUUCGCGUUCCCUUUGCCUGGUCAGCCUUUCCCACCUUUGCCCCCGCUUAUACACAAAUCUUAUCCAUCCUUCAUGCCCCAGGGCAAAUGUUACCUUUUCUUGUAACUGUAUUUGAUUACCACCACCCCACAUGCACAAAAAGCUGGAAGUGAUUUGCUAUGCCUGUAAAUGCCAAGCAUCUUAUCUGCAUCUCUUACAUUUCUCACCAUUUCUUGUACGAUUGUGUACGUAUCACGUAUCUCCAACUAAUUUUAAGUGCCAAGUUUGAGUCACUUUUGCACUUAUGCACAGUGUCUAGAUCGAUGUCUUAUAUGUGGUAAGUGCUCAGAAAUGUUAUGUUUGAUGAAUUAAUGAAAAAAAUCAAUGGCCAGGGUGACCUGUGGCAGCUAAAGUUGGUGUGGUCAGCACCCGGAAAGAAUAGUAUCACCCAGGAGUCCAGAUUAGAUGGCCUCUUAGUGAUAAGCAAACAGGACUAGGGAGGUUAUACCUCCACAACUACUAUUCGUAUGGUAGUCGCCUGGCCCCCCUACCUGGCUGAUCAAGGCUGGUUAAAAACACACAUGCCUGGGGUCCUGACUCAGUCCAUCAAGGGUGAGUGCUGCUUCUGAAUUUUUAAUAAACUCCCAGUGUGACUCAUCAGUCAAGCUUGGGACUUACCUUCCUAAAUGGUCAGAAGGUCAAAGACUCACCUACAGGUAGCCAAUAAAAAAAUGCAGGCUUUGAGUAUCUGUUUAGAGGUACCACACACACACACACACAUGCACGCACACACGCACAGGCAUGUGGAUCAUCAAACUGUAAUACGUCCAUACCCGUCAAUAAAAAGGAGUGAACUGCUGACACAUAGAACACGGAUGAAUCUCAGAAGCGUUAUGCUGAGUGGAAGAAACCAGACACCAAAUACUACAGAGUGUAUGGUUCCACUGAUCUGAAAUUCUAGAAGAAGCAAAAAUAAGGUGGAGUGAUAGAAACCUGAUCCGUGUUUGCUGGGGGCCAGGGCCAGGGGGCAGACAGGCACUGGGAACCUGACUUCCUGUAAAGGGACACAAAGGGAGUUUUAGGGGUGAUGGGAAUGCUCCGUGGCUUCACUGGAGUGGUGGUUCCAGGGAUGUAUACAUUUAGCAAAAGUCAUCAAAGUAUACAUUCAAGGGGCACCUGGGUGGCUCAGUUGGUUAAGCAUCCAACUCUUGGUUUUCAGGUCAU
Long non-coding RNA from Felis catus (domestic cat), 3250 nucleotides. RefSeq lists it as uncharacterized. Lineage: Eukaryota; Metazoa; Chordata; Mammalia; Carnivora; Felidae. The transcript is spliced from 3 exons. The record is from RefSeq and is a predicted model, not a curated record.